This 403-nucleotide ribosomal RNA is filed under the name bacterium. RNAcentral describes it as "partial 16S ribosomal RNA". It matches the Rfam family "Bacterial small subunit ribosomal RNA", at positions 355 to 776 of the family's 1533-position model. The record is from RNAcentral.
UGGGGAAUAUUGCACAAUGGGGGAAACCCUGAUGCAGCGACGCCGCGUGAACGAAGAAGGUAUUCGUAUCGUAAAGUUCUGUCCUAUGGGAAGAUAAUGACAGUACCAUAGAAGAAAGCUCCGGCUAAAUACGUGCCAGCAGCCGCGGUAAUACGUAUGGAGCGAGCGUUGUCCGGAAUUAUUGGGCGUAAAGGGUACGCAGGCGGUUUAAUAAGUCGAAUGUUAAAGAUCGGGGCUCAACCCCGUAAAGCAUUGGAAACUGAUAAACUUGAGUAGUGGAGAGGAAAGUGGAAUUCCUUGUGUAGUGGUGAAAUACGUAGAUAUUAGGAGGAAUACCAGUAGCGAAGGCGACGUUCUGGACACAAACUGACGCUGAGGUACGAAAGCGUGGGGAGCAAACAGG